RNAcentral lists this ribosomal RNA (948 nucleotides) under Caryospora daceloe. RNAcentral describes it as "eukaryotic LSU rRNA". It matches the Rfam family "Eukaryotic large subunit ribosomal RNA", at positions 465 to 1373 of the family's 3401-position model. The record is from RNAcentral. Lineage: Eukaryota; Apicomplexa; Conoidasida; Eucoccidiorida; Eimeriidae.
UGCAUUUGCCCAGUUGAUCCUUUGGGUUUGGUCAGCAUCAGCAGGUUAGUGUGACUAUUUUCCUCAAGGAAGGUAAGCCUUUUGUGGGCUGUUAUAGCCUUGAGUUAUUUUUGUUUACAUUCCUGCUGAGGUGUGUUCUUGCGCGUUCGCCGGCUACACUUUCGAGUACUGGCGUUCAGCGAUGCUGUCCCUAACGGUUUCAACCGACCCGUCUUGAAACACGGACCAAGGAGUCUAACAUAUGUGCGAGUAUGCGGGUUGUAACCCUGUAUGCGCAAUGAAAGUGAGAGUAGGGAGAGGUUUGAUUCGUUUAGGCCUCGCACCUACGACCGACCACGAUCUUUGUGAGAGGUUUGAGUUGUAGCACAUCUGUUAGGACCCGAAAGAUGGUGAACUAUGCCUGAGUAGGGUGAAGUCAGGCGAAAGCCUGAUGGAAGCUCGUAGCGAUACUGACGUGCAAAUCGUUCGUCAAACUUGGGUAUAGGGGCGAAAGACUAAUCGAACCGUCUAGUAGCUGGUUUCUUCCGAAGUUUCUCUCAGAAUAGCUGGAGUUCAAUUAGUUUUAUCAGGUAAAGCGAAUGAUUAGAGGCCUCGGGGGCGCGUCGCCCUCGACCUAUUCUCAAACUUUAAAUGGGUAAGAUCCAGUGGUUACUUUAUUGAACUGCUGGGGUUAAUAUGAACUCCAAGUGGGCCAUUUUUGGUAAGCAGAACUGGCGAUGAGGGAUGCUCCUAACGCUUGGUUAAGGUGCCAAAAUACUCGCUCAUCAGAUACCAUAAAAGGUGUUGGUUCAUUUUGACAGCAGGACGGUGGUCAUGGAAGUCGAAAUCCGCUAAGAAGUGUGUAACAACUUACCUGCCGAAUGAACCAGCCCUGAAAAUGGAUGGCGCUGCAGCGGGUUACCGAUACCAGGCCAUUAUCGCAAGUUUUUGAACACUCGACUUUUUGCG